UACAGAGGGUGCGAGCGUUAAUCGGAAUUACUGGGCGUAAAGGGCGCGUAGGCGGCUCAUACAGUCAGAUGUGAAAUUCCUGGGCUUAACCUGGGGGCUGCAUUUGAUACGUGUGGGCUUGAGUGGGGAAGAGGGUCGUGGAAUUCCCAGUGUAGAGGUGAAAUUCGUAGAUAUUGGGAAGAACACCGGUGGCGAAGGCGGCGACCUGGUCCUUGACUGACGCUGAGGCGCGAAAGCGUGGGGAGCAAACAGG
This 253-nucleotide ribosomal RNA is filed under the name uncultured bacterium. Its description in RNAcentral is "partial 16S ribosomal RNA". It matches the Rfam family "Bacterial small subunit ribosomal RNA", at positions 524 to 776 of the family's 1533-position model. The record is from RNAcentral.